Molecule: long non-coding RNA, 532 nt
Filed under: Cyanistes caeruleus (blue tit)
Lineage: Eukaryota; Metazoa; Chordata; Aves; Passeriformes; Paridae
Description: lncRNA (ENSCCEG00000013142.1)
Source: RNAcentral
AGGAAACCUUAUAGGGAUACAGAAUUAAAAUGCACGGGCAGUUGAACUGUUGGCAAUGUGACAGGUGAGAAGUUGUUUAAAUAACUGUGGGAUAACCAUGCUAUCUUCCAGAGCCACUAAGAGUGUCUCUUUUUGUAACAGAAAGUUCAGCAGUAAGCACAUCAGCUGGCAAGAGUUCAGCUAUAGACACCAAGAAUCACAACGGUACAGAGAUUAGAAGUGCACUUCAGUCUGUUUGUGCUGGGAAAAACAGUUUACCUCUUUAAUCUGUUUUUCAUCUCAGGAACUGUGAUGCUGGUUAGGUGUAAUUUCUGUAGAAAAAAAACAUUAAUGAAGUUUUUAAUCUGAAAUCACGAGCACAAAAGGAACAAAAAAAGUCAUCAGUAUUCUGACCUUCCCCAUUUUACCUGCUCUUCUUUGAUGAGUCAGAAUUUCAUUUGUUUGAAACAGGAAGGCUUGCUGUGAUAGUGAUGUAGUCCUAUUUGCACUGUUGUCUCUUUCCCACUGUUUAAAUGUCACUUGUUUAGGAUUU